UAUGAAUGACAAAAUUAGGGGGAACAAAAAGGAAAAAAUAAACGGAGGAAAAGAAAACAACGUUUCUCACUAAACCUCCACUCUUCUCCGUGUAGCUCUCUACUCAAUCCCUCGGCCGCCGCCGCCGCCGCCAUCAUUCUCCGACGAGGAAGGGAUGCUGACGCUCAGAUAUGCAAGGCAAUCCAGAUCCCUUAUCCACCCCGCUCCCGCCUCCGCCACAACCACGGCGGCUCUAUCAUCCGUCGCCGCAGACCUUCCUGUUCAUCUUCCCUCUUUGUCUCCUUCGUCCAGUACCUAUCGAUCCGUCGCCAAGACACAGCAAUCCGACCUCGCCUAUUACUUCAGAGAAUGGUUCAUGUCGCGGAAAAUCCCACUUUACGAUAGCAUCUUGGAAGCCCUACGCGCUCAGGAGGGCGCCGCCGCCGACGCGGACCUCUCCCGCUUCAACCUCCGCCUGACGGAGGAACUAGUUCUCGACGUUUUGAGAUAUAACAAGAAGGAUGUUCUCACCAGCUUGAAGUUCUUCGAUUGGGCGGGUCGACAGCCGAAUUUCUUCCACACGAGAGCGACGUUCUGCUCCAUUUUCCGAAUCAUUUCGAAGGCGAAGCUAACCAGCUUAAUGCUGGAUUUUUUGCAGGACUAUGGGAAGCACGCUGAUAACAGUAAGAAAUUGUAUCAUAAUAUAUUGGUAAUUGGUUAUUCUUUAGCAGGGCAGUGCGAGACUGCGCUCAUUGUGUUUGGUAAAAUGCGGUUUUUGGGGCAUGAUUUGGACCGCAUGGCCUAUAAUGUGCUGCUGAAUGCCCUGGUUGAUAAUGGUCAUUAUGAUUUUGUGGAGAGUUUGGCGAGGGAGGCCAGAACACGGGGGUGCGAGGACAGUUCCAUGCAUGCGGUUAUGUUAAAGAGUUACUGUAAGCAGAAUCAGUUAGAACGUGCGGAGGAGUAUCUGCGUGAUCUGAUGAAGGCUGAUGAUGGGAAAAAAUUGAAUAGGUAUGCAAUGUCUACCUUUAUAUCCGCAUUGUGUAAGAACAAUCAAUUUGAGAGGGCUUUUGUGUUGAUAGAGGAGUUCAAAUCGAUGGGAGUGGAUAUGAAGGGGCAUUUAUAUAGUUCGUGGAUGAGCGAGCUUGUCAAGGUUGGGAAGACAGAUGAUGCAUUAGAGUUUUUCAAGGAUAAGAAGGUGGUUGAUGAUUAUCUCCCAGAUGUCUUUCAUUUCAAUAUGCUGAUUUGCAGGCUUUUGAAGGAGAAUAGGCUUGAAGAGGUGUAUGAUUUGUUGGUGGAGAUGACCAAUAGGGGGGUGGUACCUAAUGAUGUCACCAUGAAUGCUGUCUUGUGCUUUCUAUGUAAAGCAGGAUUGUUGGACGUUGCAAUGGGGUUGUAUAACUCUAAGGCAGAGUUUGGCCUCUCUGUUAACCGUAUGGCUUAUAAUUAUCUGUUAAAUACACUGUUGGGGGAAGCUAGUGUUAUGGAAUCAUAUAAUGUCUUGCAAAACUCCUUGAAACAGGGUUAUUUCCCUGGGGCAAGGACCUUGUCCAUCGUUACUGAUGCCCUCUGCAGAGAAGGCAAGUUUAGUAAGAUGAAGGAGUUGGUUAUGUUCCUCUUGGAAAAUAAAAUCGUGCCCCGUAACUUUGAAUACGACAAGUUUAUAUCAGCUUUUUGUAGGGCUAGCAGAGUUGAAGAAGCAUACAUGUUACACGACCUGCUUACCGGAUUAGAUAAGUCAUCCCGGAAGUUUGCUUACUGUAGCAUGAUCGACGGAUUUACCAGGUCAGACAGAGGAGAUAUAGCGGUUAGAUUACUCAUUGAGAUGCAAGAAAGCAAUUAUCGGCCAAACAAGAAAUUGUAUAGAGGAGUCAUUUGCUGCCUAUUAAAAAUGGAUAACCCAGAAACUCGAUUCUUUGGAUUGCUUGAAAUGCAGUUGCAUCGCGGUGUGUUUUCCAGGAUUGACAUUUACACGAUCUUCAUUGAUGGGGCUGGACAUGCAGGUAGGCCUGACCUGGCUGUGCAGCUACUUGAGAUGAUGCAAACAGAUGGUCUUCGACUUAAUUUGAAUGCUAGCAUCCUGUUAUUGCAGAGUUAUUUAAAAAACAGAAAAGUUCCCGAAGCUUUGUUGCUGUUCUGCGACUUGUCCCUUAAAUGGCGAAGUAGAAAACUGUGGAAUGCCAUGAUUGUUGGUCUUUGCAGAGUUAGAGAACUGGAUUAUGCAUUAAAGGUAUUGGAGAAUAUGCAUGGAGCCAUGGUAACUCCAUCUCUCCAAUGUUAUGAGGAACUUAUCAAGUUGUACUGUGAUUUGGGGCAGUAUGAUGAUGCUAUAGAUCUUCUCGAUGAUAUGACUAAAAUUGGUCGUCAAAUUUCAUCCUUUAUUGGCAAUGUGUUUUUGUUGCAUUCGUUGAGAAGUAGGUCAUUAUAUGAUGCUUGGGUUUUUUCAAGUGAGAACAAAAAACUCACAAGUGCAAGUUGGAUGUUGGGUCACCUGAUUGGCAUAUUUUCUGGUAGUAUUGAAGGAAUUUAUUUAGAUGAGGAUAUUGAAACACUAAUCCAACAAUGCUUCCAAAUUGACCUUUAUACCUAUAAUAUGAUGUUAAGAAGAUUGAUCGCGAAAACAAGGGAAUCUGCUAGUAAUUUAGUCCAUCGGCUGCGAAAAAAAGGAUAUAAACCAAAUAGAUGGACUUACGAUAUAAUUAUCCAUGGUUUAGCCAGACAAGGUCGGGAUGCAGAAGCUAGAAAAUGGUUAGAUGAGAUGCUCCUUCAGGGGUUCAGUCCCAACUGGCUACCCCGAAGACGUAUUGAAUGAAUAGAAGAUGAACCUUGUUUGUCACGUAGAGUGUUCUAUAACAGACAGUACCUUCAAUACAGCCAAGAAAAAGAAUCAUAAUGCGCCUGGACUCGUCAAACUUGCUACCCCCACCCCCUGUCCGCUUCCUCAGAUCUCUUAAUAGUGGCGGUCAUUAGACUUCUAGGGGAUCCUGAAUUUGCUUUGCUUGAAGAUGAAGAUUCUUGAGUGUCAGUACUAAUUGCUUUUGGUAGAACAACUCUCUCCAUAUUUUAUUCAUGUCCCACUGCUGGCAGUCAUCAGGUAUUCCAUUAAUUUAUGCUUAUGACGGAGGAUUUGCCUUAUUUGUUUAGAUUAGCACUAAUAAGGAGCCAGCACAGCUAUUGAGAAGUUCAUCAGCAUGGGGGCUAUGGAGUGUUUUACAGAUCGACCAUUGUGCUAUAUAAGAAGGAAAGGGCAAAAGGCACAUUCGCAAUAUAAGUGAUGCUCUUGAAUCUGCUUAAGUCGUUGCUGUUCCGUUACAAAAGAAGUCUCUGCAGGUAAAAGAUACAAAGAAACUCCAGUUUCAUUGGAUUCGGCAUUAUUUCAUAGUUGAGAUGGAGUUUAUAAGCGGUAAAAACCCCAGCAGAUCAGCAAGGAGUUGGCUUGAUGGUGGUGGUUGUGCUUUUGUCUUCUCCGGCAGAAUGCAUUGUUCAUGGACUCUCACUUUUCGACAUGAGAUGAUAUCUCAAGACUGGAGGCGUAGAGGAAGUUUUGAUGCCUGGGGAACACAAGUAAAAGAAGGAGAUCGAUUUCGCCCUCUCUUACGCCCUCCUCAGCUUAGAACGGCAUUGUUGGGAUCGCUAUAUGGUGGCUGUUGAUAGUAUCUUGCGUAAACUGUUGUGGACUGCGUUGGGAUGUUUUAGGGUUCUUAAUCUUGGGAGGAACCUUUAAUCAGCCAAAGGGAACGAGGACGCUCACAUUAAUCAGUGAAAGAGGAUUUUUUACGUGCUUUCUAUUUUGUUACGCCAUUCAUGUAUUGUCUUGUUUGAGCUCAACAUAAAUUAAUGUUUAUUAUUUAUUUGACCUGUAACAAUUUCUCUCAUUGGUUUUAAUCUAAGAUCCAGGAAUUAUUAAAAAAAAAAGUGUUCAGGGAUGAAAGCCGACAUGUAUGGGUAAAUUCAUACUUC
Salvia miltiorrhiza (redroot sage) is the source of this 3936-nucleotide RNA transcript. It is a transcript of the gene named pentatricopeptide repeat-containing protein At1g71210, mitochondrial, with no coding region annotated. The record is from RefSeq and is a predicted model, not a curated record. The transcript is spliced from 5 exons. Lineage: Eukaryota; Viridiplantae; Streptophyta; Magnoliopsida; Lamiales; Lamiaceae.